CCGCAAAAUUCCACAGCAAUUUGAAGAAAGAGAAAUUUGCCUUUAUAGUUCCCCCAGAAGUUUUGAUAAUUAAAUAAUCCAUAACACUAUUCUCACAUAUUUGUUAGUAUUCUUUUUUAUUGAGCAAGACUUCGUAUACCAUAAAAUGCACCAUUUUCAAGUGUACUAUUCCAUGGUUUUUAGUAUAGUCACAAAGUUUUGCAACCUUCAAAACUAUUUAAUUCCAGAACAUUUUCGUCAUCUAAGAAGACAUGAUAUUUGAUAUUUUAUUCUCCUGGUGGGAACUCUUUCCUAAAUGAAAUAAAUUUUUAUUUUCCUAAAUAUUUUCUUAAGUAAAGUGAAAAGUAUAGCUUCUAAGACAUCUCUACCAUGACUUUGUCUUCAUUUCAUAGUUGAUCUUUAGCUUACUUACUUCAAAAUCUUCCAAUAAGUUCAAUCGAGAUCCUA
Molecule: long non-coding RNA, 447 nt
Filed under: Pan troglodytes (chimpanzee)
Lineage: Eukaryota; Metazoa; Chordata; Mammalia; Primates; Hominidae
Description: long non-coding RNA NONPTRT001108
Source: RNAcentral